CUGUUUACUUUCUACACUAACAGGGGUUCUUUAAGAGUCUCACAAUGCCUCGAAGAACCUGACUAGUAGGUAAUAUAGCGCAUAACAUAGUGGUCAGAAUUAUGACCAGCUGGCCUUAUGGUUGUCAGAAAAAUAUGUCAUAUUCAUGUCAGUAAAAAUUAGUUUAAAAAAAACGUCUUUAGUCAACCAGUUUGUGACUAGAUUAAGACAUCAUUGAAUGAUGUCAUACUGACGUCUUUUCAACCAGGUUUUGCCCGCUAGGUUAAGGUUCUUGCAAAAUUAGGGUUUCAACAAGGGUUCUUAUAAGAUCAUCAAAGUUCUUCAAAGAACCUUCGAGUUCUUGGCACUGAAAAUUGUCCCCAAAAAAGUUAUUCCAAGAACCCCAUAGGAGAUUGGGUUCAUUGAGGAACCCCUUUAGUUCCUCGAUGCCCAACAGAAAAAUGUGGAUUUGAAUUUGAGAAGACAGCAGGUGCAGGCACUUAACUGAAAAAUUGAAAGCUCUCCUCAAGUAGAGAAAAUGGACAACUCAAUGGCUGUCAAUCAACAAAAAGGUAUACGGACAAGGAGGCACACAAAGGACAGCAGCCAUCUUCCUCCUCCCUGACCUCUUCAAUGAAGAUCCCAGAGGCCCCUACAUUAUAAACAAGACUUCACCCUCCUUAUACCUCUGAUGACUAUAACAGGAAACCUAUGUGAUCACCAUGCACUGCAAAAUCAUUCUGGCUAUGGAUAGCCUACAGAGGACAUCAACACCCCAGAGGAUAUAUCCAUUGGACUUGGGGCUUUGUUGGGAGUUUACCUCAUAUUUAGAUUUUAGAAUUCUGCUUUGCCACUAAAAUCAUAAUAAACAUUGAAAACUAAAAGAUUGUGUUAUUGCACCAAAUGGGACCUUUAAACUGCCUGCUCUCAAAGCUCAUCUAUACACUGAGUGUACCAAAUAUUAGGAACACCUUUCUAAUAUUGAGUUG
This is a long non-coding RNA of Salmo salar (Atlantic salmon), 968 nucleotides long. RefSeq lists it as uncharacterized. Lineage: Eukaryota; Metazoa; Chordata; Actinopteri; Salmoniformes; Salmonidae. The record is from RefSeq and is a predicted model, not a curated record.